UCCUCGGUAGCUCAAUGGUGGAGCAUCCGGCUGUUAACCGGAGGGUUGUAGGUUCGAAUCCUACCCGAGGAGCCA
Molecule: transfer RNA, 75 nt
Filed under: Candidatus Atribacteria bacterium
Lineage: Bacteria; Pseudomonadati; Atribacterota; Atribacteria
Also listed under: 1 other name
Description: tRNA-Asn
Rfam family: tRNA
About the family: Transfer RNA (tRNA) molecules are approximately 80 nucleotides in length. Their secondary structure includes four short double-helical elements and three loops (D, anti-codon, and T loops).
Source: RNAcentral